RNAcentral lists this long non-coding RNA (913 nucleotides) under Homo sapiens (human). RNAcentral's name for it is "long intergenic non-protein coding RNA 454". Lineage: Eukaryota; Metazoa; Chordata; Mammalia; Primates; Hominidae. The record is from RNAcentral.
GCACGCAGGGCCGCUGAGGGGCGUACGCGGGACUCGAGUGACGUGAGCACGCACGUAGGACCUACACAGACACAGGAAGCAUCAACUCUGAGGCUUUGGCCAGGAUGUGAGCCCGACUUUCGCAGCCCCAACUGGCAGGCUGACCUCAUGUGAACUCCCUGGCGAUGGCAUCCUGGAGACACCCACAUGGCUGAGCUGGCACCAUAGGCACUCAUAAUCCAGGUUCAGUUUCUGCCAGCACUAAUUUGGUUUAUUCCACAUGGCUGGAGCCACUGCGGGACUCCAUUUGUUCCGGGGCCACCUUCCUGUCACCUUUUACUGUUUCUUGAGUCAGCAAGAAAGGCAGAUCCGACUGAAGACUCCAGCACUCUCCUCAGCUGCAGCCCCCACAGAGCUCCGCGAAGUCCUUUCUCCCACAGGACAGAUCUGAGGCACCCACCAUUAGAAGAAAGGAGUGGAGAAAUGAUAUGCAGGAAGAAGGCCCAUUCUGAUUCACCAAUCGCAUGGACGCACUUUCCUACCAGGCUAGGAGGGAGGAAAGUAGAGCCCCACCCUGACUGCUAAGCCGUUUGCUUUGGUGUCAUGAAAAAAGAGUUCAGCUUCCCAAAUCAGAGAGGAAAAGGUUUUCAAGGGGUCCCCUAUUUCUAUUAUGUAAGCUUUAAAUGACAAAGUGGACCUCUGGGGCCAACGUGGGUGUGUGAUGGUGGUUUUGUGGGAUUCUCCCCAUAGCCCCAUCAGACGGCCUCACCUUCUGGGUCUCAGUGGCCCCAGGUGCAACACGGCUCCUCCAGAAAUGAUGACAGCCCUGGCGACCAAGGACUCCCUGUGCCACUGGGUUUGCGCUCAGAAGUAUAUUCAAUGAUUUCCCCAGAAAAUUCCAAGUCAUCUCCUAAUACUGUUUGUGAAAACUAAA